Misgurnus anguillicaudatus (oriental weatherfish) is the source of this 902-nucleotide non-coding RNA. The record is from RefSeq and is a predicted model, not a curated record. NCBI's taxonomy places the organism in Eukaryota, Metazoa, Chordata, Actinopteri, Cypriniformes, Cobitidae.
AGGCUAACGGAACGCUGAGAGGGGAAGGGUGCCAAGAUUUCAUUUGCAGAUAUUUCCUCUUGCAUUUCUGUCAAUGCACUGCCAUUCACCUGGGUGAGGGAGAAGAUGAAGUGAUUAUUUGACAUCCUCACAGUCUGACAUCUAAGCUCAUAUUGAUUGGUGAAGAAAAGCAGGAAGACAAAUGGUAAAGUGGACAUGUUAAAUUGCCCCUUCCCGAAUGCCUGUAUUGAUCCACUUGUGUAGAUUAAUUUGUGUGUAUGUAAAUCGCAGACCAUAGACAUUGGAAUGGCAUUAAAUAUGCAUAAUUAAAAUGGCAAAAUUCAAGGAGAUAUCUCAUGGUAAAACUUCAAAAACACCAACCAGCUUUCGUCUAACAAACACUCCAAACACAGACCACGUCCUUCACGAUUUGAUGCAAUGUCAUCAGUUACUACACUCUCUUUAAACUGAACACAAACACACAGGCGUGUUGCUGUAAUUCAGUGCAAACUAUUACGGGGUCUUAUUUUCAACAGUGAAAACUCAUUAGGCCAUUAAGUUCAGACAGACUGUAUUAGGUUACAGUAAAUAACAUGGAUCUAUGCCAGAGCAAAGCCCUUUAUCUUCUGUACAGACACGAUGUUGCUGUUCCCCUUCAUUGCAUGCUGCAACACUUAAAGCCUCUGAAGAUUGACUCCAAUUCACGCUUGACUUCCCUCAUUCCAGGCAGAGAUGAGCAGACGGGUUUAUAUCAGUGAAAAUUAAUAAUUGGGCAUUAACUUGGCUUUCUUAUAAUAUAAGGAGGAGAGAUGAGUCCAGGAAUUUUAACCCUUAUGGGUUGUUGGGGCCAUUUUUGGCCUUUUUUGUCUUAAUUUGGCCACAACUUUCUCUGUGUUUCAGCAAAUGGAAUGAUUUUUGGUGAC